This 29-nucleotide non-coding RNA is filed under the name Mus musculus (house mouse). The record is from RNAcentral. Lineage: Eukaryota; Metazoa; Chordata; Mammalia; Rodentia; Muridae.
UCCUUGCCUUAUGCAUGUAUUGUAGGUAA